Molecule: ribosomal RNA, 468 nt
Filed under: uncultured bacterium
Lineage: Bacteria
Description: partial 16S ribosomal RNA
Rfam family: Bacterial small subunit ribosomal RNA
Source: RNAcentral
GACGAACGCUGGCGGCGUGCUUAACACAUGCAAGUCGAACGGAAAGGCCCUGCUUUUGUGGGGUGCUCGAGUGGCGAACGGGUGAGUAACACGUGAGUAACCUGCCCUUGACUUUGGGAUAACUUCAGGAAACUGGGGCUAAUACCGGAUAGGAGCUCCUGCUGCAUGGUGGGGGUUGGAAAGUUUCGGCGGUUGGGGAUGGACUCGCGGCUUAUCAGCUUGUUGGUGGGGUAGUGGCUUACCAAGGCGUUGACGGGUAGCCGGCCUGAGAGGGUGACCGGCCACAUUGGGACUGAGAUACGGCCCAGACUCCUACGGGAGGCAGCAGUGGGGAAUAUUGAACAAGGGGCGGAAGCCUGAUGCAGCAACGCCGCGUGCGGGAUGACGGCCUUCGGGUUGUAAACCGCUUUCGCCUGUGACGAAGCGUGAGUGACGGUAAUGGGUAAAGAAGCACCGGCUAACUACGUG